GAUGAAGAACGUAGCGAACUGCGAUAAGUAAUGUGAAUUGCAGAAUUCAGUGAAUCAUCGAGUCUUUGAACGCACCUUGCGCCCUUUGGCUAUUCCGAAGGGCAUGCCUGUUUGAGUAUCGUGAACACCUCAACUCUCAUGGUUUGCCAUGAUGAGCUUGGACUUUGGGGGUUUUGCUGGCCUUUGGUCGGCUCCUCUCAAACGGAUCAGCUUUCCAGUGUUUGGUGGCGUCACGGGUGUGAUAACUAUCUACGCCUGUGGUUUUCUGCCAGAUAACCUUCAGCGAUGGAGGUUCGCUGGGGCUCAUAAAUGUCUCUCUUCAGUGGAGACAGCUUUUUGGACGUUUGAUCUCAAAUCAGGUAGGACUACCCGCUGAACUUAAGCAUAUCAAUAAGCGGAGGA
This 402-nucleotide unclassified non-coding RNA is filed under the name soil metagenome. Its description in RNAcentral is "partial contains 5.8S ribosomal RNA, internal transcribed spacer 2, and large subunit ribosomal RNA". The stretch from base 1 to 121 matches the Rfam family "5.8S ribosomal RNA", at positions 35 to 154 of the family's 154-position model. The record is from RNAcentral.